UACAGAGGGUGCGAGCGUUAAUCGGAAUUACUGAGCGUAAAGCGCGCGUAGGCGGCUUUGCAAGUCGGGUGUGAAAUCCCCAGGCUUAACCUGGGAACUGCAUUCGAGACUGCAUUGCUAGAGUAUGGGAGAGGGAAGUGGAAUUUCCGGUGUAGCGGUGAAAUGCGUAGAUAUCGGAAGGAACAUCAGUGGCGAAAGCGACUUCCUGGACCAAUACUGACGCUCAUGUGCGAAAGCGUGGGGAGCAAACAGG
This 253-nucleotide ribosomal RNA is filed under the name uncultured bacterium. RNAcentral describes it as "partial 16S ribosomal RNA". It matches the Rfam family "Bacterial small subunit ribosomal RNA", at positions 524 to 776 of the family's 1533-position model. The record is from RNAcentral.